RNAcentral lists this ribosomal RNA (484 nucleotides) under uncultured bacterium. Its description in RNAcentral is "partial 16S ribosomal RNA". It matches the Rfam family "Bacterial small subunit ribosomal RNA", at positions 30 to 507 of the family's 1533-position model. The record is from RNAcentral.
AUUGAACGCUAGCGGGAUGCUUUACACAUGCAAGUCGAACGGCAGCGCGGACUUCGGUCUGGCGGCGAGUGGCGAACGGGUGAGUAAUGUAUCGGAACGUGCCCAGUAGCGGGGGAUAACUACGCGAAAGCGUAGCUAAUACCGCAUACGCCCUACGGGGGAAAGCAGGGGAUCGUAAGACCUUGCACUAUUGGAGCGGCCGGUAUCGGAUUAGCUAGUUGGUGAGGUAACGGCUCACCAAGGCGACGAUCCGUAGCUGGUUUGAGAGGACGACCAGCCACACUGGGACUGAGACACGGCCCAGACUCCUACGGGAGGCAGCAGUGGGGAAUUUUGGACAAUGGGGGCAACCCUGAUCCAGCCAUCCCGCGUGUGCGAUGAAGGCCUUCGGGUUGUAAAGCACUUUUGGCAGGAAAGAAACGUCGCGGGCUAAUACCCCGUGGAACUGACGGUACCUGCAGAAUAAGCACCGGCUAACUACGUG